RNAcentral lists this ribosomal RNA (313 nucleotides) under Methanobacteriota archaeon. RNAcentral describes it as "bacterial SSU rRNA". It matches the Rfam family "Archaeal small subunit ribosomal RNA", at positions 1 to 331 of the family's 1478-position model. The record is from RNAcentral. Lineage: Archaea; Methanobacteriati; Methanobacteriota.
AAAUCCGGUUGAUCCUGCCGGAGGCGACCGCUAUUGGAGUUCGAUUAAGACAUGCGAGUCUGAGCAUUAGCUCGGCGUACCGCUCAGUAACACGUGGGUAACCUGCCCUAUCGUUUUGAAUAACCUCGGGAAACUGAGAACAAUACAUCAUAGUCCACUACGCCUGGAACGGUGAGUGGAUGAAGGUAGGAUGGGCCUGCGGCGUAUCAGGUUGUAGGGGGUGUAAUGGACCUCCUAGCCAUCGACGCGUACGGGUGUUGGGAGACAUAGCCCGGAGAUGGAUUCUGAGACACGAAUCCAGACCCUACGGGGU